RNAcentral lists this transfer RNA (72 nucleotides) under Ovis aries (sheep). It matches the Rfam family "tRNA". From Rfam's summary of the family: Transfer RNA (tRNA) molecules are approximately 80 nucleotides in length. Lineage: Eukaryota; Metazoa; Chordata; Mammalia; Artiodactyla; Bovidae. The record is from Rfam by way of RNAcentral.
UCUCAUGUAGUUCAGUCGAUAAGGCAUCUGCCUGCAAUGCAGGAGACCUGGGUUCAAUUCCUGGGUUGGGAA